CUCUGCGGCCCUGCUCGAUCAGUGAUCGUCCUUUUGGUGCUUCGAAUCCCCUGCCUCAUAGUUGCCCGGAGGCUUCUGCCCGCAGGGCCAAACAACCAUUGUAUUACAUUCGACCCGUUCUGAACAUUGUUUCCUGAAUGGAUCUCUUGGAUCUUAAAAGUUUCAACAACGGAUCCAACGGAUCCCGUAGUGAGAAUUGCAACACGAAAGGAGCACGUCUUUGAACGUGUAUAGCUCUCAGAAUCUACACCGCUGAGAACGCCCGUUUCGCCCUCUGGGCUUCCGGGGGGUAUGCCUGUUUUUUGAAUUGGAGAUAUGAUCCUCUAUUUUGGGCGUCGGGGAAUAACCACCGCUUAAAGUGAAGGCCAAAAAUGCUAUUACUUGACUUGGUUUAAUCGACUCUGGUCCAGGUUUCCCUCUGACCCUCUAGAUUGCCCGGCCGGCGCUUUUUCGUUUGGUGUUUGCUUUCCCUUAGACCAAGCAUCACCUUUGCAGACCUUGAACUGAUAACCAGAGCGAUUACCCGAUGAACUUAAGCAUAUCAGUAAGAAAAGGAA
Molecule: ribosomal RNA, 557 nt
Filed under: uncultured Trichoderma
Lineage: Eukaryota; Fungi; Ascomycota; Sordariomycetes; Hypocreales; Hypocreaceae
Description: eukaryotic LSU rRNA
Source: RNAcentral